This 498-nucleotide ribosomal RNA is filed under the name uncultured bacterium. RNAcentral's name for it is "partial 16S ribosomal RNA". It matches the Rfam family "Bacterial small subunit ribosomal RNA", at positions 29 to 523 of the family's 1533-position model. The record is from RNAcentral.
AUUGAACGCUGGCGGCAUGCCUUACACAUGCAAGUCGAACGGUAACGCGGGGCAACCUGGCGACGAGUGGCGAACGGGUGAGUAAUGCAUCGGAACGUGCCCAGAAGUGGGGGAUAGCCCGGCGAAAGCCGGAUUAGUACCGCAUGAGACCUGAGGGUGAAAGCGGGGGAUCGCAAGACCUCGCGCUUUUGGAGCGGCCGAUGUCAGAUUAGCUAGUUGGUGGGGUAAAGGCCUACCAAGGCGACGAUCUGUAGCUGGUCUGAGAGGACGAGCAGCAACACUGGGACUGAGACACGGCCCAGACUCCUACGGGAGGCAGCAGUGGGGAAUUUUGGACAAUGGGCGCAAGCCUGAUCCAGCCAUGCCGCGUGCGGGAAGAAGGCCUUCGGGUUGUAAACCGCUUUUGUCAGGGAAGAAACGCUCUGGGCUAAUACCCUGGGGUAAUGACGGUACCUGAAGAAUAAGCACCGGCUAACUACGUGCCAGCCGCCGCAGUAA